AGACUGUAAUAGUCUAAUAGGGAAGGCGCUCAAACCUGCUUAACCGUCUAUCCCAAUUCUAGUCAUCUUGCACUUCCAGCCCUCUGCCGCGCCUCGCCUAAAUGCUGCAGUAGCCGCUUACUUAUGCAGGUAACUUAUAAUGCUAAAACUUCUGCAGCCCUAAGCACUAGAGAUAACCCUUAAGGGAGGUUUUACUCUAUAGAGAUCUCUCCCCUAUCGUAUAGCAGGUAGGAACAUAUUAAUGUAGAGGGAUUUAAAAUAGCAAAUAGAUAAGAUAGAGCAGCUAACUGUUUUU
This 295-nucleotide non-coding RNA is filed under the name Fusarium pseudograminearum CS3096. Lineage: Eukaryota; Fungi; Ascomycota; Sordariomycetes; Hypocreales; Nectriaceae. The record is from RNAcentral.